This 520-nucleotide ribosomal RNA is filed under the name uncultured Glomus. RNAcentral's name for it is "SSU rRNA". It matches the Rfam family "Eukaryotic small subunit ribosomal RNA", at positions 569 to 1089 of the family's 1831-position model. The record is from RNAcentral. Lineage: Eukaryota; Fungi; Glomeromycota; Glomeromycetes; Glomerales; Glomeraceae.
AGCAGUCGCGGUAAUUCCAGCUCCAAUAGCGUAUAUUAAAGUUGUUGCAGUUAAAAAGCUCGUAGUUGAAUUUCGGGGUCAGUAAGUUGGUCGUGCCACUGGUAUGUACUGGCUUUACUGAUUCCUCCUUCUUGUAGAACCGUAAUGCCAUUAAGUUGGUGUUGCGGGAAAACAGGACUGUUACUUUGAAAAAAUUAGAGUGUUUAAAGCAAGCUAACGCUUGAAUACAUUAGCAUGGAAUAAUGAAAUAGGACGAACGAUCCUAUUUUGUUGGUUUCUAGGAUUGACGUAAUGAUUAAUAGGGAUAGUUGGGGGCAUUAGUAUUCAAUUGUCAGAGGUGAAAUUCUUGGAUUUAUUGAAGACUAACUACUGCGAAAGCAUUUGCCAAGGAUGUUUUCAUUAAUCAAGAACGAAAGUUAGGGGAUCGAAGACGAUCAGAUACCGUCGUAGUCUUAACCAUAAACUAUGCCGACUAGGGAUCGGAUGAUGUUAAUUUUUUCAAUGACUCAUUCGGCGCCUU